GCUGGGCGUGGUGGUGGGCUCCUGUAAUCCCAGCUACUUGGGAGGCUGAGGCAGGAGAAUCACUUGAACCCAGGAGGCAGAGGUUGCAGUGAGCCAAGAUAGUGCCAUUGCAUUCCCGCCUGGGUGAUAGAGUGAGACUUUGUCUCAA
Macaca fascicularis (crab-eating macaque) is the source of this 148-nucleotide unclassified non-coding RNA. It matches the Rfam family "Metazoan signal recognition particle RNA". Rfam says of the family: The signal recognition particle (SRP) is a universally conserved ribonucleoprotein. It is involved in the co-translational targeting of proteins to membranes. The eukaryotic SRP consists of a 300-nucleotide 7S RNA and six proteins: SRPs 72, 68, 54, 19, 14, and 9. The record is from Ensembl. NCBI's taxonomy places the organism in Eukaryota, Metazoa, Chordata, Mammalia, Primates, Cercopithecidae.